AAACUUUCAACAACGGAUCUCUUGGUUCUGGCAUCGAUGAAGAACGCAGCGAAAUGCGAUAAGUAAUGUGAAUUGCAGAAUUCAGUGAAUCAUCGAAUCUUUGAACGCACAUUGCGCCCAUUAGUAUUCUAGUGGGCAUGCCUGUUCGAGCGUCAUUAAGUCCAUAAGGCCCCCGCCUUGCGUUGGGCGCCUGCGGUCCCCGCAGCGCCUCAAA
RNAcentral lists this ribosomal RNA (214 nucleotides) under Vialaea minutella. RNAcentral's name for it is "5.8S ribosomal RNA". The stretch from base 2 to 155 matches the Rfam family "5.8S ribosomal RNA". Rfam says of the family: 5.8S ribosomal RNA (5.8S rRNA) is a component of the large subunit of the eukaryotic ribosome. It is transcribed by RNA polymerase I as part of the 45S precursor that also contains 18S and 28S rRNA. The record is from RNAcentral. Lineage: Eukaryota; Fungi; Ascomycota; Sordariomycetes; Amphisphaeriales; Vialaeaceae.